RNAcentral lists this ribosomal RNA (425 nucleotides) under uncultured bacterium. Its description in RNAcentral is "bacterial SSU rRNA". It matches the Rfam family "Bacterial small subunit ribosomal RNA", at positions 355 to 775 of the family's 1533-position model. The record is from RNAcentral.
UCGAGAAUCUUCGGCAAUGGACGCAAGUCUGACCGAGCGACGCCGCGUGCGGGAUGAAGGCCUUCGGGUUGUAAACCGCUGUCGGAGGGGAUGAAAUCGUGGUGGGUUCUCCCACCUCGUUGACAUAGCCUCAAAGGAAGUGUGGGCUAAGUUCGUGCCAGCAGCCGCGGUAAGACGAACCACACAAACGUUAUUCGGAAUUACUGGGCUUAAAGGGUGCGUAGGCGGCGCGGAAAGUAGGGUGUGAAAUCCCUCGGCUCAACCGAGGAAUUGCGCCCUAAACUACCGUGCUCGAGGGAGAUAGAGGUGAGCGGAACUUAGGGUGGAGCGGUGAAAUGCGUUGAUAUCCUAAGGAACACCGGUGGCGAAAGCGGCUCACUGGAUCUCUUCUGACGCUGAGGCACGAAAGCUAGGGUAGCGAACGG